UCCGCCCAAUGCUGCUCUUCUGAGAGCAACCGCUCUGACAGCUCUCUCUAGUCUCUACUGGGAAACAGCUAAAAGUCCUUCUGGAGGUAAGCAACGCUACACAAUUACACCCAGUCUGAGAGUAAAAGAUGUCUCGAAGGUUCGUUUUGUUUUCUUACAACGUUAAGUUAAUGUUAACAUAACCUUAAGUUUGCUAGGAGGCUAUUGUUACGAGCUAGCUGUCUUAGCUAACAACAGUUAGCAGCUAACGUUUUCUGCAGUUUGUGUUGCCCCUGAAAAACGUGAUGUAGUUAUUUAAGGGUAUGUUAAAUUAACGUUAUUUUACAAGUUGAGAGAGUUAAGUUGUGUUUAAAAUCGUCAAUGUAAUGCACGUUAGAGGUUUUUAGUUAGACAUGAAGUUAGCUAACGUUAGCUAACUCUACCAGGUUAGCAUGUUAAGCUGUACUUUCUGUGGCAGCUAGCUUAAUACAAAGAGGGGUUUUGUGCUUCAUUCCAAACUUUUCUUUGUUAAUCUACCUGAAACUGUAGGGACAUUUUGUUUCUACUCAACUAUACAGACCAUUGUUGAGGAGAUGCAACACAUACUGUACAUUAGUUGGGUCCAACAUAUACCUUGAGUAAUGUUACUUUGCUGCUAAAAAUGAAACAUCAUUAUCAGAUGAGGACAUCACCAAAGUGUGUGAGCCUGUCAGGGGAUUUGAUCUGUUCUCUGCAUGUCCUAAACACUGCUCUGGUAUUACUUAUCUUGUAAAAUGUAAGUUUCGCUCUUGUCAUCGUUCAGGCUUUGCAUUUGAACUCCUAUGACUGGUUGCGGAAAAAAGGUGAGAUUCUAAUACAUUUGAAUGCCAAAAGCAAGUUAUUGUUUUUCACUUUUUAAAUAUGAUUGUUUUGGGGCAUUUCAGUUUUAUUGGACAGAGGCAGUAGAUAUCUACUGGAAACAGUGGAGAGGGAGGAGAUGAUAUGCAGCAAAAGGCCCAGCCGGAUGGUUGCUGCUCCGUGUGGAACGUGUUCUAUCAGGUGUAACAUCUACCAAUGGUUGUACAUGACAGAGACCUCCUCCACCUCUUAGCCCACAUCAAACACCUGAUCAAGAGCUUGUGAACCUCACUGCUGCGGACACCUGUGUGAUAUUCCACUCUGACUGGAAGUUACCCUCAAAAUGACCUGCAGGCUCAAGCUCGGUGUCAUCGUUUUGGCCAGUCUAAGGCGGUGAAGGUGUACCGUCUGAUCACUAGAAACUAUGAGAGGGAAAUGCUGGAUAAAGCUAGUCUGAAGCUCGGGCUGGACGGUGCCGUCCUGCAAGAGCAUGAGUGGGAACAAAGAAGGCAACAACAACGGGCCGGUCCAGCAGUUCUCCAAGAAGGAGAUCGAGGACCUGCUGAGGAAAGGAGCCUACGCCGCCAUCAUGGACGAGAACGACGAAGGCAAUCGCUUCUGCUAGGAGGACAUCGACCAGAUCCUGCAGCGAAGAGCCACCAUCACCACCAGUUUGCUUCAAGCAGUGGCUGUACGAGAAAGACGUGGAGGACCAAGAAAUGCUGGCCAGAUUGGCAAAGACCGGAAGAUACAUAACAGAGAAGAUAAUGGAUAUUAACAAGAAAAAGAAAAAAAAUGUUUAUAAUUUCUUUGUUGCUGUUUACAUUUUGAAUUAUAUUUGUUAUUUUUAAAUCAAAUGCAUCUAUUUUAGAUGAUAUAUUUAUUUAGAUGUAGGUUUUUUUUUUAAAUAUUAUUGUAUUAAGUAUAAUUUAUUAAAUAAAAAUACUGUUAUGAACACUAUACAAUGUCUUUAUUUUGAUAGUUACCAGAAUACAUUGUAUAUUUAAUACUAACAUAAGCUGGUGAUAGAUAAAUGCUGGUCUGAUGGUAUGCCAGCAGACAAAUAUUUAUAAAGACAGGGUAUGGCUGGGGUAGGCUACACCCAUACCAAGAAAUGGCUUAGCCCCACCAUGAAAAAUGAUGUUAAAGUAAGCAAAAUAAAGUCCGCCAA
Molecule: long non-coding RNA, 1987 nt
Organism: Gymnodraco acuticeps
Lineage: Eukaryota; Metazoa; Chordata; Actinopteri; Perciformes; Bathydraconidae
Exons: 5
Source: RefSeq, a predicted model, not a curated record